AGAGGGUGCAAGCGUUAAUCGGAGUUACUGGGCGUAAAGAGCACGUAGGCGGUUGAUUAAGUCAGUUGUGAAAUCCCAGGGCUCAACCUUGGAACUGCAAUUGAAACUGGUCGACUAGAGUCGAAGAGAGGGAAGCGGAAUUUCCGGUGUAGCGGUGAAAUGCGUAGAUAUCGGAAGGAACACCCGUGGCGAAGGCGGCUUCCUGGCUUCAGACUGACGCUGAGGUGCGAAAGCGUGGGUAGCGAACAGGGAUUAGAUACCCUGGUAGUCCACGCCGUAAACGAUGAGUACUAGCUGUUGGGAGGCAUAGCCUUUCAGUAGCGGAGCAAACGCAUUAAGUACUCCGCCUGGGGAUUACGGCCGCAAGGCUA
This 371-nucleotide ribosomal RNA is filed under the name uncultured organism. Its description in RNAcentral is "partial 16S ribosomal RNA". It matches the Rfam family "Bacterial small subunit ribosomal RNA", at positions 527 to 896 of the family's 1533-position model. The record is from RNAcentral.